RNAcentral lists this ribosomal RNA (460 nucleotides) under uncultured bacterium. Its description in RNAcentral is "partial 16S ribosomal RNA". It matches the Rfam family "Bacterial small subunit ribosomal RNA", at positions 338 to 795 of the family's 1533-position model. The record is from RNAcentral.
CCUACGGGGUGCAGCAGUGAGGAAUAUUGGUCAAUGGCCGGAAGGCUGAACCAGCCAUGCCGCGUGAAGGUCAGUGCCCUAUGGGCGUUAAACUUCUUUUGUGCGGGAGCAAUAAUGGUCACGUGUGGCCAGACGAGAGUACCGUACGCAUAAGCAUCGGCUAAAUCCGUGCCCGCAGCCGCGGUAAUACGGGGGAUUCAAGCGUUAUCCGGAAUUAUUGGGGUUAAAGGGUGCGUAGGCUGUGCGGUAAGUCAGCGGUGAAAUGCCCCCGCUCCACGGGGUGAAUUGCCAUUGAUACUGCCUUGCUGGAAUGCGGAUGCGGUGGGAGGAAUGUGUGGUGUAGCGGUGAAAUGCAUAGAGAUCACACAGAACACCGAUUGCGAAGGCAUCUCACGAAGCCGCGAUUGACGCUGAUGCACGAAAGCGUGGGUAUCAAACAGGAUUAGAUACCCCUGUAGUC